This 259-nucleotide ribosomal RNA is filed under the name uncultured bacterium. RNAcentral describes it as "partial 16S ribosomal RNA". It matches the Rfam family "Bacterial small subunit ribosomal RNA", at positions 524 to 776 of the family's 1533-position model. The record is from RNAcentral.
UACGGGGGGGGGUAAGCGUUGUUCGGAAUUACUGGGCGUAAAGGGCGCGUAGGCGGCCUGCUAAGUCGAACGUGAAAUCCCUGGGCUCAACCCAGGAACUGCGUCCGAUACUGGUUGGCUUGAAGUCCGGGAGAGGGAUGUGAACGGUACUACGAGUGUGACGGUGAAAUGCGUAGAUAUCUGGAGGAACACCGGUGGCGAAGGCGGACUCCUGGACCGGUAUUGACGCUGAGGCGCGAAAGCCAGGGGAGCAAACGGG